Molecule: unclassified non-coding RNA, 1233 nt
Filed under: Leishmania donovani
Lineage: Eukaryota; Euglenozoa; Kinetoplastea; Trypanosomatida; Trypanosomatidae
Description: gene:LdHU3.22.1010(CDS-product:hypothetical_prote in_conserved)
Source: RNAcentral
GCAACGAAUCAAACACUGUCUGUGCUCCUCAUCUAUAUAUAUAUAUACAGGGAAAGAGAGUUGUCGUUCCUCAGGUUCAUCGCACAUUGGUAGGGUUUCACAGCACACCGUUCCAGCGUUUUGGGUUCGUAUGUCUGCGCCUCACGGCUUGCCGUCUUAGGAACCAUGCUACAGGCAACACUGACUGCCCGGCUGUUCUCGAAGCCCAUUGCUCAGGGGUACGUGGCGCAGCUGCCAAAGCCACAGCCGGGGCCUAAGGGGCGUGCCUGGAUGCGGGCGAUGGAUGCCAACAGUGACGUGCGCGACUUCUACACCGCAGACAAGGAGCGCUAUAAUACAUGGUACAGGGAGACCUACGGUAUCGAAGACCUCUCCGACGGCUCUGCUGCGUCUGGAGCUGCAUCGAACCGGCUUCUGGACGACACCCGCAACAUACAGCAGGCGGCAGAGGAGUACGACUUGCGAGCCGUAAGGGAGGAGCUCGAAUUCUGGGGUCAAGAGUUCCAGCACGUUACGCAGCUCCGCUAAGGGGAUUGGUAGCAGUAUGGCGGAGGGGGAGGGAGGGGGAGGCUGCAGCCUGCCUAUGUUUCCUGUGUAAUCCUUUUGUGCUGUAGCUGCGUGACACUCAAAGAACAAGCCAAGGAGGGAGGGCGUGUGUGCUGACGUGAAGCUCUGCCUUCCUCUGUUUUUUUUUUUUCGCCUCGUCCAAUCUCCGAGGGUAGAGAGGCGCGGAGAUGCGCUCCACUACCGCCGCUGCUGCUGGUUGCUUUUUUCGAUUUGUUUACAUCCGGGUUGGAAGAAAGUUUUGGUUGUUGAUGGACCUUUGCCGGGAAGGUCGUGUGGGGUUUCCUGUUCAUCGCUAAGGGGAUCAGCUCACAGGGGGGGGGUGGAUGGGGAGGCGGCAAAAGCGGUGGCGAGAGUCGAUUACACUUCUCCUGCAUCUAGUUCCUCCCUUCUGUGUGUGUACCCCUCGCUCUCCCUCGAAAGGGUGUCGUCCACGCGCGCUGUUCCCAUACUUUGCGCUGUGUGCUUUCAUCACCCUGCGUUCCCAUCUGCUUCCAGCAGCGCUUCACUGAGAUACCCACCGAUACAGAAAGAGAAACCAAGAAUGUAUCAGAUUUAUUGCGGAUGAGGGUCGCAACGAGGAACAGAUAGGAGAGAGCGACUGUGGAGCGCAUGAGGGAUUUCGCGUCUCCAUCGAAAAGAAACCGAUCAGAACACAAAGACAUGAAC